UAAUAGAGUGUUUUAUGGCACUCUAAAAAAAAUCCAUAUCCACCUUGUGUGAAAUGUUAAUCCUUUGUCAAUAAUCUUUUUUUUUUUUGACAAGGUAUUUUUUAUAUCAACUCUCUUUUAUUAUUAUUUUUAAUCUAUUGUCUGUAAAAUGUUAUGAAUUUACUUAAUUCAAAACA
Molecule: unclassified non-coding RNA, 176 nt
Filed under: uncultured Mortierellales
Lineage: Eukaryota; Fungi; Mortierellomycota; Mortierellomycetes; Mortierellales
Description: sequence contains ITS1
Source: RNAcentral